Cyprinus carpio carpio is the source of this 744-nucleotide long non-coding RNA. The record is from Ensembl. NCBI's taxonomy places the organism in Eukaryota, Metazoa, Chordata, Actinopteri, Cypriniformes, Cyprinidae.
CAAAUCUGAAAUCAAGCUCCUCUGAUUAAAGACAAUGUGCACAGCUGUUUUAUAUCCCUUCCAUAUCCUUUUGUUCUCUGAAUGCAAAAAGAUCCUUAUGCACACCCUUUAGCGUUAUGAAAAGUUAUUAUUUUUGAAUAAAUCCUGCCAUCUCUCUCUGCUCAGAAACCAGAUGGCACUGAAGACAGCUCACGUUUGAAGUGAGCACAGGGUGGCAGCUGCUCCCUGCAGUGUUUUCCUGCUCGGGUCAGUCUCUCCUGGGGAAGCAAUGACAGAAACUAGGCCAGAUGGUGCGGGAGAGAGAGAGAGAGACAGAGCGGGCCGCUCUCAACCUGACCAACUGCACCACAUUCAAGGCUUUGAUCUAAAAUUGGCCUCUGUAGAAGACUUGUGUACAGUCAUUUUCAUAUGGGCUUUGAACAUAUUGAAAGGGCUCAUAGCUGCCGUCGCUUUUAUCCUCUGAUUCCUUUUCCCUUGGAAACGACGAGCAUAUGGCAAACACCCUCACUGGAUUCUCAGACAACGGGAGGGACCGUAUUCCGAUUCCUGCAUCCUGUCAUCGGCGAAUCCCAGGGUGCUACCCGAACCCUCCCUCCCGCGCACACGCAGCACAAACACACCGUCUCCUCCAGACUUUGAAAUGCGCUCUGCAUUUGUCUGACAUCCUUAAACUGGAACACAAUGCUCUAAUCUCUCUCUCAUUUUACCUUGUUUUUACCUGAACUCACUUGCUUUUGAUUCUAC